This is a non-coding RNA of Solanum lycopersicum (tomato), 1324 nucleotides long. The record is from RefSeq and is a predicted model, not a curated record. NCBI's taxonomy places the organism in Eukaryota, Viridiplantae, Streptophyta, Magnoliopsida, Solanales, Solanaceae.
UGUGGAAGGUUCUGAAUUGAUGCCAGCUGUUGAGGCCACCUGUCUUUCUUCAAUCUUCAUUUUUUCAUUUUUCUCUUUUCAAUAUUUAUGUCGGAAACAUUCUUCUUCUUCAUAAUACAACUUGUGCUAUCUUUCAUCUCUAAUGGAUUGCCAUCAGCUGUAAUUCCAACACCCCCCUCGGAGGAACGAACACCCAAUUUGCAUAACAGAAGAUGGUGAGAGGUACCUGUGAGUGGCUUAGUAAAAAGAUUUCGAGCUGGGAAGACGAAGGGAGAAGUGAUAAAGAAAUCAAACUAGCAAGAUAUUGUUGUCGAACAAAGUGGCAAUCUAAGUCAACAUGCUUCGUCCGUUCAUGAAAAACAGGAUUUUUAGCGAUAUGAAUUGUUGCCUGGCUAUCGGAAUGAAGAGAAAUGGGUAGACAAGGAGGCAGUGUAAGAUCCGAAAUAAGAUGGACGAGACAUGUUAACUCAGCAACAACACGACGCAUAGACCUAUACUCUGCUUCGGCAGAGGAAAGUGAAAGAAAAGGUUGCUUUUUCGAUUUCCAAGAAAUUGAACUACCACCGAGGCUAAUGUAGAAACCACUGACCGACUUGCGAGAGUCAGGACAACUGGACCAUUCAGAGUCACAAAAAGCCAAUAAGGUGAAAUAUAGGGAAGAAUUAAGGAAAAUCCCUAAGCCAGGGUCAGAAAGAAGAUACCGAAGGACAUGAUAAGCAGCCAAGAGAUGGGCGUGAUGAGGGCGUUGCAUAUAUUGGCUAAGAUGCUGAACGGAAAAGGAGAUGUCAGGCCGUGUGUGAGUGAGAAAGUUGAGUUAUCCAAUAAGGCGGCGAUAACUAGUGACAUCAGAAAGGGGACAACCCAUAUCAGAUUGUAAUUUCAGGGAGGGAUCCAAAGGGGAAAGAGCGGGUUUAAGUCCAAGGCACUGAUAUUCGGAAAAGAGCUCCAAGAUGAACUUGCGUUGAUUAAGAAUCAAACCAUGUGGUUCCCUGAUAACUUCAAUACCCAAAAAAUAAUGUUCAGAUUCUCAGCAUCCAGAUCACACAUAGAUCGAUUAUCGAUCCCCAGUUCUGCAGAUUCAGUGUUGAGCCCUCAUUCUUCAAAGACAAUAGACAUGAGUUCAUUUCAGUAUUUUUGUCAUUUAGUUUCAGUUUUUUCUAGACUUAGCAGGGGUUUGUCUCCGUAUUUCUAGUCAAAUAUAGGAUUAUUUCAGACAUAGUUAGUUUCAGCCUAGAAGUGAGUUAAUAUUUUCUUUGUAUUAAACUCCUCAAUUUUCAUAUGUCUUAGUUUAAGCAUAUGGGUAUUCCCCAACUUUUCAUUUUAA